Molecule: ribosomal RNA, 253 nt
Filed under: uncultured bacterium
Lineage: Bacteria
Description: partial 16S ribosomal RNA
Rfam family: Bacterial small subunit ribosomal RNA
Source: RNAcentral
UACAGGGGGUGCAAACGUUGCUCGGAAUCAUUGGGCGUAAAGCGCACGUAGGCGGUUCGUUAUGUCGGAUGUGAAAGCCCUUGGCUUAACCGAGGAAGUGCAUCCGAAACUGGCGAGCUAGAGUACGAAAGAGGAUCGCGGAAUUCCCGGUGUAGAGGUGAAAUUCGUAGAUAUCGGGAGGAACACCAGUGGCGAAGGCGGCGAUCUGGGAAGAUACUGACGCUGAGGUGCGAAAGCGUGGGGAGCGAACAGG